UACGGGGGGGGCAAGCGUUGUUCGGAAUUACUGGGCGUAAAGGGCUCGUAGGUGGCCAACUAAGUCGGACGUGAAAUCCCUCAGCUUAACUGGGGAACUGCGUCCGAUACUGGAUGGCUUGAGUUUGGGAGAGGGAUGCGGAAUUCCAGGUGUAGCGGUGAAAUGCGUAGAUAUCGGGAGGAACACCUGUGGCGAAAGCGGCUCACUGGACCACAACUGACGCUGAGGCGCGAAAGCUAGGGGAGCAAACAGG
This 253-nucleotide ribosomal RNA is filed under the name uncultured bacterium. RNAcentral describes it as "partial 16S ribosomal RNA". It matches the Rfam family "Bacterial small subunit ribosomal RNA", at positions 524 to 776 of the family's 1533-position model. The record is from RNAcentral.